This 579-nucleotide ribosomal RNA is filed under the name uncultured bacterium. RNAcentral describes it as "bacterial LSU rRNA". It matches the Rfam family "Bacterial large subunit ribosomal RNA", at positions 370 to 948 of the family's 2925-position model. The record is from RNAcentral.
GCCCCGUAGUCGUAGUGGCGCAAAGCCUAGUGGGUACCUGAGUACCGCGGGACACGUGAAAUCCUGUGGGAAUCCGGCGGGACCAUCCGCCAAGCCUAAGUACUCCUCAUCGACCGAUAGUGAACAAGUACCGUGAGGGAAAGGUGAAAAGCACCCCGAGAGGGGAGUGAAAUAGAACCUGAAACCGUGUGCCUACAAGCACUGAGAGCACGACGCCGUAAGGCCGUGUGAUCGGGUACCUUUUGCAUAAUGGCCCUACGAGUUACGUUUCGUGGCGAGGUUAAGCCGUAAGGUGGAGCCGGAGGGAAACCAAGUCCGAAUAGGGCGAAAGUCGCGGGGCGUAGACCCGAAGCCCGACGAUCUAUCCAUGGCCAGGUUGAAACGCGGGUAAUACCGCGCGGAGGACCGAACCCACCUUAGUUGAAAAUAAGGGGGAUGAGCUGUGGAUCGGAGUGAAAGGCUAAUCAAGUCGGGGAAUAGCUGGUUCUCCUCGAAAUAUAUUGAGGUAUAGCCUCGGAUGAAUACCCGCGGGGGUAGAGCACUGAAUGGGCUAGGGGACCUACCAGUCUACAAACCCAA